Molecule: ribosomal RNA, 490 nt
Filed under: uncultured bacterium
Lineage: Bacteria
Description: partial 16S ribosomal RNA
Rfam family: Bacterial small subunit ribosomal RNA
Source: RNAcentral
AUUGAACGCUGGCGGCAGGCCUAACACAUGCAAGUCGAACGGUAACAGGAAACAGCUUGCUGUUUCGCUGACGAGUGGCGGACGGGUGAGUAAUGUCUGGGAAACUGCCUGAUGGAGGGGGAUAACUACUGGAAACGGUAGCUAAUACCGCAUAACGUCGCAAGACCAAAGAGGGGGACCUUCGGGCCUCUUGCCAUCGGAUGUGCCCAGAUGGGAUUAGCUAGUAGGUGGGGUAACGGCUCACCUAGGCGACGAUCCCUAGCUGGUCUGAGAGGAUGACCAGCCACCCUGGAACUGAGACACGGUCCAGACUCCUACGGGAGGCAGCAGUGGGGAAUAUUGCACAAUGGGCGCAAGCCUGAUGCAGCCAUGCCGCGUGUAUGAAGAAGGCCUUCGGGUUGUAAAGUACUUUCAGCGGGGAGGAAGGGAGUAAAGUUAAUACCUUUGCUCAUUGACGUUACCCGCAGAAGAAGCACCGGCUAACUCCGUG